AUAUUGUUGUGGGAUGGGGUUCCCAGUUUAGUCCCACAUCGGCUAAUCAGCGGAAAGGUCUGUGCCUUAAAUGGGGGGCUCAAUAACCUCUCCCCACCGAGGGCCCUUUUGUAGGACAAAACCGUGAGGUAGGGGUAGUACCUCCGCGGACCCCCGCGCCGUUAGGGCUCGGGACUGUCAUUGGGCAAAGACCCUGGGCGACCUCCCGGAGACCCGAAGCGGCAAUCCCAGAGCGGACAAUACCUCGGGAGGGACGCAGAUGCUUUCCCUGCUCGGCUGGUGUGUGGGCUGCUGCCGGGGUGAAACCCCGCAACAGU
RNAcentral lists this long non-coding RNA (317 nucleotides) under Phoenix dactylifera (date palm). RNAcentral describes it as "long non-coding RNA (PDAC_LNC021342)". Lineage: Eukaryota; Viridiplantae; Streptophyta; Magnoliopsida; Arecales; Arecaceae. The record is from RNAcentral.